Molecule: ribosomal RNA, 253 nt
Filed under: uncultured bacterium
Lineage: Bacteria
Description: partial 16S ribosomal RNA
Rfam family: Bacterial small subunit ribosomal RNA
Source: RNAcentral
UACGUAGGGUGCAAGCGUUGUCCGGAAUCAUUGGGCGUAAAGCGCGCGUAGGUGGCUUCGUAAGUCCGUUGUGAAAGUCAAAGGCUCAACCUUUGAAUGCCGAUGGAUACUGCGAAGCUAGAGUACGGAAGAGGCGAGUGGAAUUCCUGGUGUAGCGGUGGAAUGCGCAGAUAUCAGGAGGAACACCAAUAGCGAAGGCAGCUCGCUGGGACGUUACUGACGCUGAGACGCGAAAGCGUGGGGAGCAAACAGG